RNAcentral lists this ribosomal RNA (497 nucleotides) under uncultured bacterium. RNAcentral describes it as "partial 16S ribosomal RNA". It matches the Rfam family "Bacterial small subunit ribosomal RNA", at positions 28 to 507 of the family's 1533-position model. The record is from RNAcentral.
GAUGAACGCUGGCGGCGUGCCUAAUACAUGCAAGUCGAGCGAACAGAUGAGGAGCUUGCUCCUCUCACGUUAGCCGCGGACGGGUGAGUAACACGUGGAUACCCUACCUAUAAGACUGGGAUAACUUCGGGAAACCGGCGCUAAUACCGGAUAAUAUAUUGAACCGCAUGGUUCAAUAGUGAAAGACGGUUUUGCUGUCACUUCUAGAUGGAUCCGCGCCGCAUUAGCUAGUUGGUAAGGUAACGGCUUACCACGGCAACGAUGCGUAGCCGACCUGAGAGGGUGAUCGGCCACACUGGAAGUGAGACACGGUCCAGACUCCUACGGGAGGCAGCAGUAGGGAAUCUUCCGCAAUGGGCGAAAGCCUGACGGAGCAACGCCGCGUGAGUGAUGAAGGUCUUCGGAUCGUAAAACUCUGUUAUUAGGGAAGAACAAAUGUGUAAGUAACUAUGCACGUCUUGACGGUACCUAAUCAGAAAGCCACGGCUAACUACGUG